RNAcentral lists this ribosomal RNA (253 nucleotides) under uncultured bacterium. Its description in RNAcentral is "partial 16S ribosomal RNA". It matches the Rfam family "Bacterial small subunit ribosomal RNA", at positions 524 to 776 of the family's 1533-position model. The record is from RNAcentral.
UACGUAGGGUUCGAGCGUUAAUCGGAAUUACUGGGCGUAAAGCGUGCGCAGGCGGUUGGGCAAGACAGAUGUGAAAUCCCCGGGCUUAACCUGGGAACUGCAUUUGUGACUGCACAGCUGGAGUGCGGCAGAGGGGGAUGGAAUUCCGCGUGUAGCAGUGAAAUGCGUAGAUAUGCGGAGGAACACCGAUGGCGAAGGCAAUCCCCUGGGCCUGCACUGACGCUCAUGCACGAAAGCGUGGGGAGCAAACAGG